GCAAAUAUAGUUUAAGAAAACGCCAGAUUGUGAUUCUGGAAUUAGGAGUUAAACCCCCCUUAUUGGCC
RNAcentral lists this transfer RNA (68 nucleotides) under Synodus variegatus (variegated lizardfish). RNAcentral describes it as "tRNA-His". It matches the Rfam family "tRNA". Rfam says of the family: Transfer RNA (tRNA) molecules are approximately 80 nucleotides in length. Their secondary structure includes four short double-helical elements and three loops (D, anti-codon, and T loops). The record is from RNAcentral. RNAcentral also lists the same sequence under 1 other name. Lineage: Eukaryota; Metazoa; Chordata; Actinopteri; Aulopiformes; Synodontidae.